Long non-coding RNA from Dalotia coriaria, 599 nucleotides. RefSeq lists it as uncharacterized. NCBI's taxonomy places the organism in Eukaryota, Metazoa, Arthropoda, Insecta, Coleoptera, Staphylinidae. The record is from RefSeq and is a predicted model, not a curated record. The transcript is spliced from 3 exons.
ACAUCUGGCGUAAAUUUGAUAGAACAAAUCAAUAUGUACCAACUGAAAAUCUGAUCACUGACUUUGAAUUAUCUAAUAGAUAGUUUUCUGAUAACUAAACAAAACUAUCAAAUCAAUAUUGUAUUGUAAAAUAUCAAUAAGCUUUUAAUUGUAAUAAUUAGUUAUAAGUUAUUGUAUAAAUAUAUCUAUUACUAUGUAUACAAACCCCAAAACAAACUGCCAUUGGACAUUUGGUCAUCUUUAAUAUGUCAGAAUACUGUCAUUACCACCGAGGACAUCAAUAUCAAUCAUCAUUAGCAAAUCUUCAAAAGAUUUCACUGAUAUAAAUGGGUUUAACGGCAAUUCCAGGAGAUUUUCCCCAACAACUCUCGAUGUUUAUCAGCUUCCAGACAAUUCAUCUAUAUUCACAUUCAGAAUUAUAUCAAAUCGCUUCGCAACGCGUCGCAUUCCUGGAAUUCCCGGUACCUCCGAUGUCGUCGCUGGUCCCAUGCCACAACGUUGCUUUGGAGUUGUUAUCAUAAGCAUCGCUGCCUGAAGACAAGGUGAAUUAAAGUCGACUUUGACUUCCUAUUGGGCUAUACUCGUACAUGACAAAGAAA